Molecule: long non-coding RNA, 692 nt
Filed under: Vulpes vulpes (red fox)
Lineage: Eukaryota; Metazoa; Chordata; Mammalia; Carnivora; Canidae
Description: lncRNA (ENSVVUG00000026744.1)
Source: RNAcentral
AGAGAAUCAAAGAAUUUCCAUCCAUGUCAAUACUGUAUGGUAAAGAAGCCACAUUUUUAUGUUGAUAGGCCUUUAAAAUACUUAAGCUUUAGCUGUUAGGAUAAAAACUGUUCACUUGUUUUUGGGGAAGUCUUUAAAAACCAUAUACAUUACAGCUCUUCAAAUAUAUAUCAUGACAUACAUUAUUAUUGCAGGACUAUUUCUUAAGAAUUUUCUAACUGCCACCUUCCACCCUAGAACUGAAAGAGUAACUCCAUCAUAAAGGGGACAGCUUCUGACAGUCUUGCCUCCACAUAGAAAUGACAAUCUCAUUAAUGAUGCUAAGUUUAUGUUAAGAAAAAUGAGUGAUUCAGAGAAGGCAAUCUGUUACCUGGAGGAAUUUCGAAUUUUUAAAUGAUCAUUGAUCAGAGUUUUUAAGAAUCUCAUGAAAACGGUGGUUCAGAUAACAAGAAGGGAGUUGCAGCCUCCAGGAAAGGAAGAAAGCAACAUUAUUGCUUAUCUUUUAAAUUGCCAACAAAUAAGUGCACCACAUCCUCAUCUGUAAAAUGAGGUUAUAUUCAGUUAGGCCACCCUGGAGUUUCCAUUUUACAGGAAUGCCCCUUCCCAACAGGGAAGAGUAUUUAUGAAGCUUGUUGUGACAUGUCCAAAAUUAAAACAAUAAAAAAAUUGUUUAAAUUGCUGAUCUGAAACUA